ACACUGGUGGUUCACUGAACACAGUUUAAGAGGAAAAACCAAAUUUGCCCAGUGUCUGGGACAUGUGGUGGAAGAGAAACUAUGAGAAGAAGGUUUUCCUAUUUUACAAAGACUGCAAUCUCUGAAACCAUCCAGAAGAGACUUUUCUUAAGUUGCAAGAUUGUAAAAAUAUACUGUCUUAGUAUCCAAUAACAAGGUAAUACAUUUGUCUGGAUGCUGGGUUUCUUGUAAAGUUUUGGAUGAACAUGAAAGACAACCCAAAGUUACAUUGCAUUCCACUCCAUCCAUGAAUCUGAGGAGCACUGCGCAAGUGUUGGCAGCUGCCAAUUCUGCCCUUAGUCCUCAUCUGUCCCAUCCUGAAGUUGAAGAGAAACAUGCCACAUGUUUCCAUUUA
Zalophus californianus (California sea lion) is the source of this 394-nucleotide long non-coding RNA. RefSeq lists it as uncharacterized. NCBI's taxonomy places the organism in Eukaryota, Metazoa, Chordata, Mammalia, Carnivora, Otariidae. The transcript has 3 exons. The record is from RefSeq and is a predicted model, not a curated record.